GAUGAAGAACGCAGCGAAAUGCGAUAAGUAAUGUGAAUUGCAGAAUUCAGUGAAUCAUCGAAUCUUUGAACGCACAUUGCGCCCGCCAGUAUUCUGGCGGGCAUGCCUGUUCGAGCGUCAUUUCAACCAUCAAGCCCCCGGCUUGUGUUGGGGACCUGCGGCUGCCGCAGGCCCUGAAAAGCAGUGGCGGGCUCGCUGUCACACCGAGCGUAGUAGCAUACAUCUCGCGCUGGGCGUGCUGCGGGUUCCGGCCGUUAAACCACCUUCAUAACCCAAGGUUGACCUCGGAUCAGGUAGGAAGACCCGCUGAACUUAAGCAUAUCAAUAAGCGGAGGA
Molecule: unclassified non-coding RNA, 336 nt
Filed under: soil metagenome
Description: partial contains 5.8S ribosomal RNA, internal transcribed spacer 2, and large subunit ribosomal RNA
Rfam family: 5.8S ribosomal RNA (bases 1-120)
Source: RNAcentral